RNAcentral lists this ribosomal RNA (610 nucleotides) under uncultured bacterium. RNAcentral describes it as "bacterial SSU rRNA". It matches the Rfam family "Bacterial small subunit ribosomal RNA", at positions 8 to 652 of the family's 1533-position model. The record is from RNAcentral.
AGAGUUUGAUCCUGGCUCAGAACGAACGCUGGCGGCAGGCCUAACACAUGCAAGUCGAACGAUGAAACCCAGCUUGCUGGGUGGAUUAGUGGCGCACGGGUGAGUAACGCGUGGGAACCUACCCUUGAGUGCGGAAUAGCCCCGGGAAACUGGGAUUAAUACCGCAUAAUGUCUACGGACCAAAGAUUUAUCGCUCAAGGAUGGGCCCGCGUCGCAUUAGCUAGUUGGUAGGGUAAUGGCCUACCAAGGCUACGAUGCGUAGCUGGUUUGAGAGGAUGAUCAGCCACAUUGGGACUGAGACACGGCCCAGACUCCUACGGGAGGCAGCAGUGAGGAAUCUUGGACAAUGGGGGAAACCCUGAUCCAGCCAUGCCGCGUGAGUGAAGAAGGCCUUCGGGUUGUAAAACUCUUUCAAUCGUGAAGAGAUUGACGGUAGCGAUAGAAGAAGCCCCGGCUAACUUCGUGCCAGCAGCCGCGGUAAUACGAAGGGGGCUAGCGUUGUUCGGAAUCACUGGGCGUAAAGCGCGCGUAGGCGGACCAGCAAGUUGGAGGUGAAAGCCCAGGGCUCAACCCUGGAAUUGCCUCCAAAACUGCUGGUCUUGAGUCCGGA